This 74-nucleotide transfer RNA is filed under the name Staphylococcus aureus. RNAcentral's name for it is "tRNA-Asn(gtt)". It matches the Rfam family "tRNA". From Rfam's summary of the family: Transfer RNA (tRNA) molecules are approximately 80 nucleotides in length. Their secondary structure includes four short double-helical elements and three loops (D, anti-codon, and T loops). Lineage: Bacteria; Bacillati; Bacillota; Bacilli; Caryophanales; Staphylococcaceae. The record is from RNAcentral.
UCCACAGUAGCUCAGUGGUAGAGCUAUCGGCUGUUAACCGAUCGGUCGUAGGUUCGAGUCCUACCUGUGGAGCC